AAUGACAACUCUCAACAACGGAUAUCUUGGCUCCCGCAACGAUGAAGAACGCAGCGAAAUGCGAUACUUAAUGUGAAUUGCAGAAUUCCGUGAAUCAUCGAGUCUUUGAACGCAUAUUGCGCCCGAGGCCCCGGCCAAGGGCACGCCUGCCUCAGCGUCGGUUGAC
RNAcentral lists this ribosomal RNA (166 nucleotides) under Jaagichlorella hainangensis. Its description in RNAcentral is "5.8S ribosomal RNA". It matches the Rfam family "5.8S ribosomal RNA". Rfam says of the family: 5.8S ribosomal RNA (5.8S rRNA) is a component of the large subunit of the eukaryotic ribosome. It is transcribed by RNA polymerase I as part of the 45S precursor that also contains 18S and 28S rRNA. Lineage: Eukaryota; Viridiplantae; Chlorophyta; Trebouxiophyceae; Watanabeales; Watanabeaceae. The record is from RNAcentral.